Picea glauca (white spruce) is the source of this 121-nucleotide non-coding RNA. The record is from Rfam. Lineage: Eukaryota; Viridiplantae; Streptophyta; Pinopsida; Pinales; Pinaceae.
ACAUGCUUAUAGCAUGGAAUUAAUGCACUAGACCCCAUUAGAACUUUGCAGUUAAGCAUGCUCAGGAUAGAUUAGUACUGGGAUGGGUGACCACCUGGGAUGUAUUAGUAUUUUACAUGCC